CCUACGGGAGGCAGCAGUGGGGAAUAUUGCACAAUGGGGGAAACCCUGAUGCAGCGACGCCGCGUGAGUGAAGAAGUAUUUCGGUAUGUAAAGCUCUAUCAGCAGGGAAGAAAAUGACGGUACCUGAUUAAGAAGCCCCGGCUAACUACGUGCCAGCAGCCGCGGUAAUACGUAGGGGGCAAGCGUUAUCCGGAUUUACUGGGUGUAAAGGGAGCGUAGACGGCAGCACAAGUCUGGAGUGAAAUGCCGGGGCUUAACCCCGGAACUGCUUUGGAAACUGUGCAGCUAGAGUGCAGGAGAGGUAAGUGGAAUUCCUAGUGUAGCGGUGAAAUGCGUAGAGAGUAGGAGGAACACCAGGGGCGAAGGCGGGUUACUGGACUGUAACUGACGUUGAGGCUCGAAAGCGUGGGGAGCAAACAGGAUUAGAUACCCCAGUAGUC
RNAcentral lists this ribosomal RNA (440 nucleotides) under uncultured bacterium. RNAcentral describes it as "partial 16S ribosomal RNA". It matches the Rfam family "Bacterial small subunit ribosomal RNA", at positions 338 to 795 of the family's 1533-position model. The record is from RNAcentral.